CCUACGGGUGGCAGCAGUGGGGGAUAUUGCACAAUGGGGGAAACCCUGAUGCAGCGACGCCGCGUGUGGGAAGACGGUCUUCUGGAUUGUAAACCACUGUCCCCAGGGACGAAAAUGACGGUACCUGGGGAGGAAGCUCCGGCUAACUACGUGCCAGCAGCCGCGGUAAUACGUAGGGAGCAAGCGUUGUCCGGAAUUACUGGGUGUAAAGGGAGCGUAGGCGGGGAUGCAAGUUGGGUGUAAAAACUACCGGCUCAACCGAUAGUCGCACUCAAAACUGCAACUCUUGAGUGAAGUAGAGGCAGGCGGAAUGCCUGGUGUAGCGGUGAAAUGCGUAGAUAUUAGGAGGAACACCAGUGGCGAAGGCGGCCUGCUGGGCUUUUACUGACGCUGAGGCUCGAAAGUGUGGGGAGCAAACAGGAUUAGAUACCCCAGUAGUC
This 440-nucleotide ribosomal RNA is filed under the name uncultured bacterium. Its description in RNAcentral is "partial 16S ribosomal RNA". It matches the Rfam family "Bacterial small subunit ribosomal RNA", at positions 338 to 795 of the family's 1533-position model. The record is from RNAcentral.